CUGAAUUGAAAAACACAGUCACUGGUGUGUCUUGAAUUGCCAGAGACUAAUGUUAAGCUUGAUUCAGCAUCUUCCCGUCUAUAUUGCUUGUUUGUCCCUUUGUCUAUAUUGCCUGUCUAUCCAUUUGUUAAUUCUUUUUGGAGUUUGCUUUCUGAGGGCUGAGGCUGGGUGGCCUGUCUCCUGGUGGCUCUUACUGUCUGCCAUGGAGCCUGGCACACUGUCGUAUGGAGCAGCUCCAGAGAAGGGCUUACCCUCUGGCCUAUAUUCCCUAGUUCCUGAGUUCAGCAGACCAUUCCUCAUUCGCUUCUGUCCUCUUGUUAUUCUGAAACUACCACUACCCAAGGCCUUGGCUGCCAGAUGAUGUCUCUUUUGGAAGCAUCCGUCACUGUACUUUAAAAGAGGGGCCCUUCCCAGUCCCUAUGAGGAACACAUUAAGCUUGUGCUUUGCAGAUGCUCACGCUACACCUCUAACUUGUCUCUUUAGGUGUGUCUCCAUUCCAGGCUCUGUCUGUGUACUUAUCUGCCACACGCUUUGUGUUUCUAAAACAAAUCUUUAUUUUUAUUAUUGUUGGGACAGGUGCCAUUUAAAUUGCCUCCAUGCUUGGAUCAAGUUGGGAACAAACUCAUAUUCAACUUUUAAGGCUCUGUUUGCCUGCAGAAGCAAGGAGAUUGGAAUGUAUUUUUUUUUAGUGUUUGCACUAUUUGGAGUCCUAAGCCCCUCAUGUUCAGAUGUUUUGUUUUUCUACUGACCAAGCAGGAAAGCUGGCAGCACUUCCAAAUAGAAAUGGAAGAAGCUUCUUCCAUGGUGGGUAAUCCCAGCCUCAUAGACCUUGUGCACCCUUUGUCAUGGGACUCAGUGACUCAUGGAUACAGCAUCAGCCACGGCAGGAAUGUGUGGAACUGUGGCAUAUGCAGAAACAAAUUGCCCUUAGUGCUAUGUCCUUGCCUUUGGUUAUAAAUUGUAAAUUAUUUCCCCCUUUUUAGUGGCAAUAAAAGACCCUUAUUGUUUAAUUUGUCCGUGUAAAAUACUUUCUUUGCAAGAAAACUCAAGACACUGAAUGUGUAUGUCUAUGUGGGUGCUCUGUCCCCGUGCUUGUCACAAGCAGUCAAACUGGACCAUUGACACCCUGUACAAUGUAUUGCACAGGGAAAGUCCUUGAUCUAGUGUUUUCUGCAUGGGUGUUGGGGACUUAUAUCUCAUAAAAGGACACUUGUCACAUGCUUGAUCAGUUACAGUGAUAGCUGAAGAAACAUUUCCUCAAAUGUAUUAUUUUAAGAAGAAUCAUGUUCUAGUUUCCCAUAUUGAAUGUUUAAUUUUAAUAAAAGCUAAACUGUGCAAA
Long non-coding RNA from Heterocephalus glaber (naked mole-rat), 1340 nucleotides. The record is from Ensembl. NCBI's taxonomy places the organism in Eukaryota, Metazoa, Chordata, Mammalia, Rodentia, Bathyergidae.